This 253-nucleotide ribosomal RNA is filed under the name uncultured bacterium. RNAcentral's name for it is "partial 16S ribosomal RNA". It matches the Rfam family "Bacterial small subunit ribosomal RNA", at positions 524 to 776 of the family's 1533-position model. The record is from RNAcentral.
UACGAAGGGGGCUAGCGUUGCUCGGAUUGACUGGGCGUAAAGGGCGCGUAGGCGGUUCGUACAGUCAGACGUGAAAUCCCUCGGCUUAACCGGGGAACUGCGUCUGAUACUGGAUGGCUUGAGUUCGGGAGAGGGAUGCGGAAUUCCAGGUGUAGCGGUGAAAUGCGUAGAUAUCUGGAGGAACACCGGUGGCGAAGGCGGCGUCCUGGACCAACACUGACACUGAUGAGCGAAAGCCAGGGGAGCAAACGGG